UACAGAGGGUGCGAGCGUUAAUCGGAGUUACUGGGCGUAAGGGCGCGUAGGCGGUUAUAUAAGUGAGAUGUGAAAUCCCUGGGCUUAACCUAGGAACUGCAUCUCAUACUGUAUGACUGGAGUAUUGUAGAGGGUAGUGGAAUUUCCGGUGUAGCGGUGAAAUGCGUAGAGAUCGGAAGGAACACCAGUGGCGAAGGCGGCUACCUGGACAAAUACUGACGCUGAGGCGCGAGAGCGUGGGGGAGCAAACAGG
RNAcentral lists this ribosomal RNA (253 nucleotides) under uncultured bacterium. Its description in RNAcentral is "partial 16S ribosomal RNA". It matches the Rfam family "Bacterial small subunit ribosomal RNA", at positions 524 to 776 of the family's 1533-position model. The record is from RNAcentral.